UGGCGGCGAUAGCGCGGUGGUCCCACCUGACCCCAUGCCGAACUCAGAAGUGAAACGCCGUAGCGCCGAUGGUAGUGUGGGGUCUCCCCAUGUGAGAGUAGGGAACUGCCAUGCA
This 115-nucleotide ribosomal RNA is filed under the name Klebsiella oxytoca MGH 28. Lineage: Bacteria; Pseudomonadati; Pseudomonadota; Gammaproteobacteria; Enterobacterales; Enterobacteriaceae. The record is from RNAcentral.